AAAAAGUCAAACCCUGUGUUUCCGUGUCCAACUUUGACUGUCCGUCUUAUAUAAAAUUUUUUUAUAAUUCGUAUUUUUAUUAUUGUUAGAUGAUAAUACAUGAUUAAUAUUUUAUGCGUGACUUGUCUUUUUAAUUUUUUUAUAAUUUUUUUAAAUAAGACAGACGGUCAAAUGUUGGACACGGAAUUUAAGG
This is a microRNA precursor of Oryza sativa Indica Group (long-grained rice), 193 nucleotides long. It matches the Rfam family "MIR812 microRNA precursor family". NCBI's taxonomy places the organism in Eukaryota, Viridiplantae, Streptophyta, Magnoliopsida, Poales, Poaceae. The record is from Rfam.